AUCUAAGCGGGAAGCCUGCUUCGAGAUGAGUAUUCCCACCCACUUGAUGGGGUAAGGCUCCCAGUAGACGACUGGGUUGAUAGGCCGGAUGUGGAAGCCCUGUAAGGGGUGGAGCUGACCGGUACUAAUAGGCCGAGGGCUUGUCCUCAGUUG
This 153-nucleotide ribosomal RNA is filed under the name Streptomyces sp. SID5770. Its description in RNAcentral is "partial 23S ribosomal RNA". It matches the Rfam family "Bacterial large subunit ribosomal RNA", at positions 2779 to 2925 of the family's 2925-position model. Lineage: Bacteria; Bacillati; Actinomycetota; Actinomycetes; Kitasatosporales; Streptomycetaceae. The record is from RNAcentral.